This 355-nucleotide long non-coding RNA is filed under the name Carica papaya (papaya). RNAcentral describes it as "long non-coding RNA (CPAP_LNC003392)". Lineage: Eukaryota; Viridiplantae; Streptophyta; Magnoliopsida; Brassicales; Caricaceae. The record is from RNAcentral.
ACAACAACUUUCCCUUCUUUCAGCCUAUUGGUACCCAUGGAGCCCAUAGGGAUGUCCCCACUACGCAUGAACUUUUUUUUUAAAUUUUCAAUUAACAGGCCGUCCCCAUAUCUCGUCCGGUAUGAGGGUGAAACGGGCCAUCCCCAUACCCCCUCUAGUAUGAGGCAACAUUCACAGUAGGGUUCCUUAUGUACCCGAUCCGUCCACCAUAUCUCAGGAUAUCCAGUAAGGUUGUCGUUCAUCUAUCCACUUAAUCAAACAAUUUUUUGUUUACCUUUAAUUUCUAGUUUCUCAAUUCAACCGUAAUCACAUAAAAAAGCAAAUCAUGCAUAAAAGGAAUAUAAACGCAUCAUCA